CAAGUCAAGGCGGCUGCGAACCGGGCCGGGGGGGGGCACGGCGCCCAUCAGGAGCGCCACCCACUCCCAGGCCAGGCCACCCCGCGGACCGGGCCCUCCACGCGCCCAGGCGAGGCACUGGGCUCCCUCUGCUCCCCGUGGGCCGCUCCCCGCGUGGGGCCACUGCCCUUGGCCCCCUGCCAUGGUGCGGAUUUCAAAGCCCAAGACGUUUCAGGCCUACUUGGAUGAUUGUCACCGGAGGUACAGCUGUGCCCACUGCCGUGCUCACCUGGCCAACCACGACGACCUCAUCUCCAAGGGUGAAUGUGGGUUGUGGGCCAGCAAAAGAGCGGGUGCUGCUGACAGGUCUUCAUGCUGUCGCUGACAUCCACUGCGAGAACUGCAAGACCACUCUGGGCUGGAAAUAUGAGCAAGCCUUUGAGAGCAGCCAGAAAUACAAGGAGGGGAAGUACAUCAUUGAACUCAAUCACAUGAUCAAAGACAACGGCUGGGACUGACCUAGCUCCUGACGCAUGUGGCUUCAGCCUGGCCUGGCCGCCAGGGGGAGCCACUGGUUUCGCUCCUCCUGAAGGGAGCUCUGGACCCUCAGGGCCCCCACAGGGGAAGGAUCCAGCUCCUGUACAUAUAUUUUAUUGCAUGCACUGUGACCUUGGGGGGAGACAAGGAGGGGGAUUGUAACCCCCGGCACCUCCCUGCGAUCUGGCUGGCUUGGAUCUCAUUUUUUUUAACCCCUUCCUGUCUUGCCUGUCCCAUAGAUAUGGCCUGUGUGCUGCUCUCAUGGCCCCGGUGCACCAUCUUUCUGUGAAUCCCUCCCUCUGGAUCCCUCUUACCCGCAGCGUGUCUGUUCUCGUUCUGUAGCGUUUGUAAAUAAUAAAACAAUGGAAUGGA
Rattus rattus (black rat) is the source of this 888-nucleotide RNA transcript. It is a transcript of the gene named protein yippee-like 3, with no coding region annotated. The record is from RefSeq and is a predicted model, not a curated record. Lineage: Eukaryota; Metazoa; Chordata; Mammalia; Rodentia; Muridae. The transcript has a single exon.